GUGUCAGCAGCCGCGGUAAUACGUAGGUGGCGAGCGUUGUCCGGAAUUAUUGGGCGUAAAGGAUGCGUAGGUGGAUAUUUAAGUGGGAUGUGAAAUCCCUGGGCUCAACCCAGGAAUUGCAUUCCAAACUGGGUAUCUUGAGUGUAGGAGAGGAAAGCAGAAUUCCUAGUGUAGAGGUGAAAUUCGUAGAUAUUAGGAGGGAUACCAGUGGCGAAGGCGGCUUUCUGGACUAUAACUGACACUGAGGCAUGAAAGCGUGGGUAGCAAACAGGAUUAGAUACCCUGGUAGUCCACGCUGUAAACGAUGGGUACUAGGUGUAGGAGGUAUCGACCCCUUCUGUGCCGUCGUAAACACAAUAAGUACCCCGCCUGGGGAGUACGGUCGCAAGACUAAA
This 395-nucleotide ribosomal RNA is filed under the name uncultured bacterium. RNAcentral's name for it is "bacterial SSU rRNA". It matches the Rfam family "Bacterial small subunit ribosomal RNA", at positions 505 to 898 of the family's 1533-position model. The record is from RNAcentral.